UACAGAGGGUGCGAGCGUUAAUCGGAAUUACUGGGCGUAAAGCGCACGUAGUCGGCUUUGCAAGUCGGGUGUGAAAUCCCCGGGCUCAACCUGGGAACUGCAUCCGAGACUGCAUUGCUAGAGUAUGGGAGAGGGAAGCGGAAUUUCUGGUGUAGCAGUGAAAUGCGUAGAUAUCAGAAGGAACAUCAGUGGCGAAGGCAGCUCGCUGGGACGUGACUGACGCUGAGACGCGAAAGCGUGGGGAGCAAACAGG
Molecule: ribosomal RNA, 253 nt
Filed under: uncultured bacterium
Lineage: Bacteria
Description: partial 16S ribosomal RNA
Rfam family: Bacterial small subunit ribosomal RNA
Source: RNAcentral